UUAGUGAAAUCGAGUAGGACGGGACACGUGAUAUCCUGUUUGAACAUGGGGGGACCAUCCUCCAAGGCUAAAUACUCCUGACUGACCGAUAGUGAACCAGUACCGUGAGGGAAAGGCGAAAAGAACCCCUGUGAGGGGAGUGAAAUAGAACCUGAAACCGUGUACGUACAAGCAGUAGGAGCCCACUUGUUGGGUGACUGCGUACCUUUUGUAUAAUGGGUCAGCGACUUAAUUUUAGUAGCAAGGUUAACCGUUUAGGGGAGCCGUAGGGAAACCGAGUCUUAACUGGGCGUCAUAGUUGCUAGGAUUAGACCCGAAACCGAGUGAUCUAGCCAUGGGCAGGUUGAAGGUGAGGUAACACUUACUGGAGGACCGAACCGACUAAUGUUGAAAAAUUAGCGGAUGACUUGUGGCUAGGGGUGAAAGGCCAAUCAAACUCGGAGAUAGCUGGUUCUCCCCGAAAGCUAUUUAGGUAGCGCCUCGGACGAAUACUACUGGGGGUAGAGCACUGUUAAGGCUAGGGGGUCAUCCCGACUUACCAACCCUUUGCAAACUCCGAAUACCAGUAAGUAAUAUCCGGGAGACACACGGCGGGUGCUAACGUCCGUCGUGAAGAGGGAAACAACCCAGACCGCCAGCUAAGGUCCCAAAGUUAUAGCUAAGUGGGAAACGAUGUGGGAAGGCUCAGACAGCCAGGAUGUUGGCUUAGAAGCAGCCAUCAUUUAAAGAAAGCGUAAUAGCUCACUGGUCGAGUCGGCCUGCGCGGAAGAUUUAACGGGGCUAAGCUAUACACCGAAGCUGCGGCAAUGUGAAUUUAUUCACAUUGGGUAGGGGAGCGUUCUGUAAGCCGUUGAAGGUGCAUUGUAAAGUGUGCUGGAGGUAUCAGAAGUGCGAAUGCUGACAUGAGUAACGAUAAAGGGAGUGAAAAACUCCCUCGCCGGAAG
Molecule: ribosomal RNA, 944 nt
Filed under: Photobacterium kishitanii
Lineage: Bacteria; Pseudomonadati; Pseudomonadota; Gammaproteobacteria; Vibrionales; Vibrionaceae
Description: bacterial LSU rRNA
Rfam family: Bacterial large subunit ribosomal RNA
Source: RNAcentral